This is a long non-coding RNA of Camelus dromedarius (Arabian camel), 2588 nucleotides long. RefSeq lists it as uncharacterized. NCBI's taxonomy places the organism in Eukaryota, Metazoa, Chordata, Mammalia, Artiodactyla, Camelidae. The record is from RefSeq and is a predicted model, not a curated record. The transcript has 8 exons.
GGGGCUGCAGCCCGCGUCCCCCCCACCACGCUUUCCCUGCCCCGCGACCCCGGGGCUGCCAUACUCUCCCUUUCCCGCUCCCUGUGGACCAGCUCAGUGGCGUCUGCGCUGCUCCAUGGCUGAGAGCCUCCAGCUGUAAAGCCCAGCUUCUCCUGGUGGAGUCGGGAAAAGGGAGCAUCAGUACUGAGCGAGCUUCCUUCUCCUCCCUUAGUGUUUCUGCCCCAGUACGUUUUGGUUACUGAGACCCUCGAAUUCCCAUAUGAAUUGUAGCAGCAGCUAGUCAGUUUCUGCAGAGGAGCCCGCAGGGAUUGUGAUCGAGACCACGUUGAAUAUACGGAUCGUUCUGGGGAGCACUGCCAUUCCAAGAACGCUGUCUUCUGAUCCAGGAAUGUGAUGCUGCUCUGGUUGCUGAAUGUGCCCUUUCCCCAAAAUUGGUUUUGGAGUUAAGUCACCAUCAGUGGAGCCCUCUCUUUAAAAGAUGAAGAGAAUAUUUGCUCCUUCUCCCUGGUUGGGGACUUGGAUGAGAUGAGGUGCCCUCCCUCCAGUAGCAUCCAUCCAGACACCAGCACUGACACUGGCCGUGCUCAGAACUGCCUCAGCCCUGAAGACACAACUGACGAAUAGAAGGGGGCCAUGCCCUGUUAUAGCAGGUGCUCUCACUUUGUGGAUCCUUAUGUAACUGAGCGGUGUUAAUCAGGAUUGCCCGUUCUACAUUGUGUGGCGCUGCUGCAGUGUCUCCUAGUUACUUGUUUCUUGUAAAAAUGCCGGUGACUGAGUUAGAGGCAUGCUUCCAAGCUGUCCGUGUCCUUGCCAUUCAGAAGCGGACCCUGGAAGCUUCCGAAUUUCUCCAGAAUGCGUUCUACAUUCACAUUCGGCAGUUGGCCCGCCAUAUCUGUAGUUUCCACUUCAUGGAUCCAGAUGGCUGAUUGUAAAGGGACUCGAACAUCCUUGGAUUAUGGAAUCCAGGAUGGGGGUUUCCUGAAACCAACCCCCCGAGGAUACUAAGGGAUGACUCUACAUGUAGGAGUGAAACUGCUGUGCCAUAUAACUCUAACCUUUUGAGGAAACAACAGACUUCUCCAAAGAAGCUGCACCAUUGUCCCUUUCCACUGGCCGCAUAUGAGAUACCCAGCUUUCCCUGCACCACUUGUUGAAUAGACUAUUCUUUCAAUGGAGUGUUGUUGGCACCCUUGUGGAAAACUGACUGUAAAUAUAAGGAUACUGAGAAUUAAGUCUUCUCUCUUUUGGGUGGAGCUCAUUAUCAAUGAAGGGAAGUUGUAAGGAAAAAGAUAUUGAUUCAUCCUGAGAAAACAUUUUUCUGAGAGUCAGCAGUGAAGAGGGUGAACAGUAAAGAAGGUGAUCAUUGUUCGAUUGAGACGAGCCCCGGGUUGUACGGAGUCAGCAUCCUUGUCCUGGACACGGCCAGUGUAGAGCUGCGUGGUGGGUGAGGCGGCGCAGCGGCGCAGGGAACGCAGAUGCCGGGCCGUUGGGCUGUGCUCAGGCCCGGUGGGGCUUUCUCCUAAGGGCAGUGGACCGUCAUUGUCAGAUUUUAAGUAGGGGAGUGGGGUGCUCUCGUAGAUCACUUUUGUCUUGUAAAAUGCUUAGAAACAUUUAGAAGGCUCGGCAGGAGGUGAUGUGAUGAGUCAGAUUAGGGUGGCUGCGAGGUGUAGGAGUGUAGAAUUUUCAAGUGGCUUUCAGUCCCAGUUUUGUGGCUCAGUAGCCUUGUCACAUUGGAUGAUGCACUCAAGGAAGAGAAACAAUUUAUCUAAUCAAUAAAAGCAGUGAUGUACCGACCUCCCAGGACUGCUGUGGAGAUCCAGUGAGAUAACGUGUGCACAGCGUGCAGCAUGGUCCCCAGCACAGAGUCAGUGCUGAGGGAGUGCCAGUGAGAACCUGGUAGGUGAGGUGUGGGUGGUGGGACUCGUUGACGGAGGAAAUUGGGCCCUGAAGGAGGGGUCCAGUCACAUCUGUGAGUGAUGGGCCUGAGCUGGGAGAGGCAGAGAGACCUUGACCCCCGACCAGGGGCCCUGGGCAGGACGGCUAUUAGAGGAGCACCGUGAAGUCAACUCUUUGCAGGUGGAGUUGGAGUUGCCCUUGAGACCACUAAGUGCAGUGUCACGAGAUCAAAGAGGAGGUCUGGGCCCAGGCUGUGCAUUUUCCUAUAAUCUUAAUCCCUGAGGACGCCGAGGUAUUGAUCACUGAACCUGAAGACAUACUUUACAGGACAAGUGAAUAGUAGUAUCAUCUCUGUCAUCAAAGCUCACGUCUCUUUAUUCAUCACCCACUUUGCUAAUUGGGUACUUACAGAGCUCACUUCACCGCCCUCCCCUGGGAUCAGGCUCCAAAGUAAAGAGCUGGUGAGCCUCCCUCCUUUCCAGAAGAUGACACAUUUUGCUGGUAGCCUUCUGUACCUCGCCAGACUUAGAAUUUUAGUUUGUUGAUUUAAUUCUAUUUUCUGUUAGCCAUCUCCUUACAAGAGAGACCUUUUACUUCAUGGUCAUAUUUCAAUUAGCUGUUACUGAGAAUUGCUGAUCUGAUACAUAGAGUAAGUAUUAUAUUAACCUUGUAGAGUAUUUAUCAUUUUUCUG